Molecule: non-coding RNA, 1072 nt
Organism: Misgurnus anguillicaudatus (oriental weatherfish)
Lineage: Eukaryota; Metazoa; Chordata; Actinopteri; Cypriniformes; Cobitidae
Source: RefSeq, a predicted model, not a curated record
AAAUUUGAAAAUGGCAGCUCUUCUAAGCUCCACCCCCUCUCGUUAGCACUCCGUCCAAAGCUACGCCCCCACAAACAUGAACGCGCAUCCACAGUCGGAGUCAGCUGCAGGUCACAGGAAAACCGAGUAUUUCAACACAUUAUAGGCAUCAACCAAACGACUUCAUGUCUCAUUCACCUAGUUUCCACGACGAGAGCAUUUGAUCUGAUCCUACAUACAGUCCGCAUCCGAGCACGUCUUCAGGUCAAAGGGGACAGACCCGAGGUCGUGCUCGAGGAAGAGGAGGUGCACGGGGUAGAAGCCGAGGAAGUCGAGGUAGAGGACGCGGAGCAAGUCAGACUGCAACCGGAGAACACCUGAGACAUGACGAUAUUCUGCGAGUCGAGAAUCUGCAAGCUCAACGAAUUUCAGAUGAGCAGGCCAGAAUUCAUACACUGAGCUUGGAAGAAUCCCAUCAGUUGCUGCAGAUCUGCCUGACAAGGGACCCAAGCCUCAUCUUUGAUCUCCUCCAUAUGUCAACAUCAGGAGAUGCUCCUCCACCAGGCCCUCCAGCUCCGAGUCAACCCACUUGGUGUGUGUGCCGAAACUGCAGAGAGAUGCCCUCAGAUGUAGAAAGAAAGUGCUGUGGGCAACAAGACGACUCCUGUAUUUCCAUGCUGCCCCACAUGGAAUUGUACAUUUUGCAGGAGGGGGUGUUGCGACUUGCCAGAAGGAUCUGGAAUGAUGUCCGGGCUGUGGAGGAUCUUCCAGACCCAGGGGAGAGCAAUAAACAAUUCCGCUACGCUGCAUACCGGCAAUAUGUUGUGUGGCAAUAUGGGGCACUGGGAGCUGGGCACAGAGUAGUAAUUCCUAGUUGCUGUGUUUUGGAAAAUUAGAGACCGCUACCCAGAUACACAUGGACAGUAUACAGGUUUCAUCCCAAGUAGGGUGUAGGCACAGUACAAUAAAUAGUAUUUAUUUUUGUGCCCUGCUUUUUUAUUUAUUUUGUACUGGUUUAUAUAUUGUUCUGUAAAAUUUGCACUAAUGUAUACAGUAUGUACAGUCAUAUUAUUAUUUAAAUUUUGUCAUGUUU